RNAcentral lists this unclassified non-coding RNA (317 nucleotides) under Alloyangia pacifica. RNAcentral describes it as "Yangia pacifica Long range pseudoknot". The record is from RNAcentral. Lineage: Bacteria; Pseudomonadati; Pseudomonadota; Alphaproteobacteria; Rhodobacterales; Roseobacteraceae.
ACGCACGACUACGACGUCAAGAUGCGCAACGUGCUGAAGUUCCUCGAAGGCGGCGACAAGGUGAAGAUCACCCUGCGCUUCCGGGGCCGCGAGAUGGCACACCAGAACCUCGGCCGCGAGCUGCUCGAGCGCGUCUCCGAGGACGUCAAGGAAGUGGGCAAGGUCGAGAACAUGCCCAAGAUGGAAGGCCGCCAGAUGGUCAUGAUGAUCGGUCCGAUCACCAAGUAAGCGCCAUCCGAGGAUCCCCUCCGGGGAUCCGCCGAGGGAAAACCCGCCGCGCUGCCGCCGGCGGGUUUUGCUUUUGGUGGCACCUCCAU